This 2091-nucleotide long non-coding RNA is filed under the name Pandoravirus neocaledonia. Its description in RNAcentral is "hypothetical ncRNA". The record is from RNAcentral.
GGCUGCAUGCCGCAUGGCCGUGCUGUCGCGCGGACAGCCGUCUGCAUCCAUGUAAGCCAAACAGUCGACGUGGCCCUCGGUGACGGCGUUCAAAUAGGCACACGGACUCCAUGAACAGCCGCGCGCGCGCAAGUCGCGCAUGUAGUCGAUCCGGCCGGUGCAUGCGGCCGCCAGGAGCGCAUCGUCUCGAACGGCGCACCCACGGUCAAACAGCCAUCUAACGCAGUCGUCGCGCUGGUCGGAAAUCGCCGCGACCAAGGCAUCCGAAUCUGGACGGUGGCCCUCGGCAUCCAAGAGUCGCAUGAGAUCGAGCCGUCCGCCCGCGGCAGCUUUCCUCUGCAGGCCCGAUGACCAAAGCGACGGUGCCGCCUCGAUCAUGCCUUGAUGCAAAAGGUAGUCCAGAGUGUCACAGUCGGACCACGUGGCCGCCACCGCAGUCGCCUCCCCCCGUGAGCACCGAGGUGCGCGCCGGCGCAACAGGUCCAACAUCUCUACGCUGCAUCGGUGCUCCAGGCCCAGCACAAACGAGUCGGCAUGGAGUGGGCGCUCGUUGGGCGGUUCGCAGAGCCAGCGGACCACAUCGACGUGAUCAGCGCGGAUCGCCUUUUUCGCGCACUUGUCGGCGUCCCAUGGGCAACCGCGAGCGCGUGCGCGCUCAAUCCGGGCAAUGUCGCCUGCAGCCGCCGCAAAAGCGCACACGUCCUUGUCCCACGGACAUCCGUAUUCAUGCAACACGUCGACAAAGUCCCAUGCUCCGAGAUAGGCCGCCUCACGCAUGACUCUGCGCGUCCAUGUGUACCCGUGCGCUUGCAGCACGGCCGCCGUAUCAAACGAACCGGAUACGAUCGCGGUGGCGCUAAUGUCGUCGCACGGACAGCCGGCGUCGAGCGCGUAGGCCAGACAGGCGACGGCACCGCGCCGCGCGGCAACCUCGCACACUGCGCCAUCCCAGGGACAUCCUUGCUCGUGGAGAUAACGCAGGCAAUCGAGGUGGCCCUCGCGGCGGGCAUACGGAUCGCAUACGUCAGCGCCGCCAACGGCCGCCUCUGUUGCGCUCUCGUCCCAGGGGCAACCUUGUUCGUGCAGAUACCGCAGGCAGUCGAGGUGGCCGCCUGCCGCGGCGGCCGCCGUCGCGGUGUGAUCCCAUAAACAGCCUCGUUCGUGCAGAUACCGCAGGCAGUCGAGGUGCCCGGCGGCGGCGGCCGCACGACACACGUCGCUGUCAAAACGAUGGCCGGCGGCGUGGGCAUAAACGAGACAUUCGAUUCGGCCCCUGCUGGCCGCCUCCGUGGCCACUAGGCUCCAAUAGAUGGUGAUGCCGCGGGUGGCCAUGGCAUGCAACACACCAACGUGCCCGCCGCGUGCCGCGACCUUUUCCACGGACGUGUCUGACCACAGGGGGCCUUGGGCACAUCCGGCAUCGUAGAACCGCGCAAACAGAUCGGCGCGGCCGUGGCGCGCGGCCGAUUCGCACUCGGCGCCCGACCACGGACACCCGAUCGACAACGCGUGGUCGACGCACUCGGCGUGCAACAUGGCAGCUGCCGACGCGCAAGGGUUUUCGUGCCUGGUGGCGGGGGCGCACAUACCACGCGGCGAUGCCGCACGAUCCCCUACGAUGGCAAACCAGCGUCGGCACACCCGUGCGGCUCGCCGCCGCACGAGACACGGCAACUGCGCCAGAAUGUGCGCCAACACUUCAUCGGGCAGGCGGUCAACAUGCGACGAUAUGGUGGCACAAAGGUAUCUGUCUGGGCUCCCGCGUUGGUGUGCAGACGGCGUCCCACACGUCCGAGCGGCCACGGAGAGGCGACGUUUUUUGAAAAAGGGCUCGUCGGCAGCAGGUGCGGCGCCGCCACCUGCGAACCGCGCUUCCAUGACGCUUUGUCUUGUCUGUUUCUUUCUUUCUUUUUUUGCUAGGUCCGGCCCCGUCGAUGAUCCGUCGCAGCGUCUUGUGCGCAGCCUUUUCUUUUUCCUUGGUGUGCGCGUGUGCGUCUUUGCCAGCAAGCACGGCGGCUUUGGGACAGUAGCAACCACACGGUGAUUUAAGUAAUAAAGAGAGAGAGAGAGAGAGAGAGAGAGAGAGAGAGA